RNAcentral lists this long non-coding RNA (207 nucleotides) under Elaeis guineensis (African oil palm). Its description in RNAcentral is "long non-coding RNA (EGUI_LNC033986)". The record is from RNAcentral. Lineage: Eukaryota; Viridiplantae; Streptophyta; Magnoliopsida; Arecales; Arecaceae.
UUGGAGCUAAUUUCAUAUUUUUUGGAUGUGUAUUUUGAGAGAAAAUCAAGUUUAAAGAAAAGGGUCGACUCCUAGGAUUGAUCCCUACCAAAAAAGCUGAACGGCAUGCUAUUUUUGACUGGCACACCCAAAGGGGACGACUCUAUACGUCAACCUCUGUUGCUGUGCAAACAAAAAAUACAGAACAGUGACUUUCUAUUCUGUGCC